UCGGGAAUCUUGCACAAUGGGCGAAAGCCUGAUGCAGCAACGCCGUGUGGGCGAGGAAGGUCUUCGGAUCGUAAAGCCCUGUUGUUGGGGACGAAGGGCGAAGGGUUAAUAGCCCCUAGCCUGACGGUACCCUUCGAGGAAGCCCCGGCUAACUACGUGUCAGCAGCCGCGGUAAUACGUAGGGGGCGAGCGUUGUCCGGAAUUAUUGGGCGUAAAGAGCGUGUAGGCGGCCUGGUAAGUCUGCCGUGAAAACUCGGGGCUCAACCCUGAGCGUGCGGUGGAUACUGCUAGGCUAGAGGAUGGUAGAGGCGAGUGGAAUUCCCGGUGUAGCGGUGAAAUGCGCAGAUAUCAGGAGGAACACCAGUGGCGAAGGCGCCGCUCUGGGCCGUAACUGACGCUGAGGAGCGAAAGCAUGGGUAGCAAACAGGAUUAGAUACCCCCGUAGUCC
RNAcentral lists this ribosomal RNA (448 nucleotides) under uncultured prokaryote. RNAcentral's name for it is "bacterial SSU rRNA". It matches the Rfam family "Bacterial small subunit ribosomal RNA", at positions 355 to 796 of the family's 1533-position model. The record is from RNAcentral.